RNAcentral lists this ribosomal RNA (43 nucleotides) under Goniastrea retiformis. RNAcentral describes it as "partial 28S ribosomal RNA". RNAcentral also lists the same sequence under 3 other names. Lineage: Eukaryota; Metazoa; Cnidaria; Anthozoa; Scleractinia; Merulinidae. The record is from RNAcentral.
GACCUCAGAUCAGGCAAGGCUACCCGCUGAAUUUAAGCAUAUC